AUAUAUAUGUACUAUUUGGGGAAAAGGUUUCACAGACCUACACAAGUGUACUACACUGGUGAUAAAAAUAAAAAAAUCCCGCGAGGCCAACCGCAACUUUCUUUGCGGGACAAAACGCAAAAGUGUGGUCGCUGACUGUGCAGAUUGCACUGUAUAAGUAAAAUAACAAGUGUCAAACCUCAAGUCGGCUUGUCCUUCUGUUCUGGGGCUAGUAAUUGGGGAUGAUGACUAUGGUAACUGCAAGCAACACUGCACGUGGAUGGACCUUGAGCAGCAGCAGCGGCAGGUUUAUGUUAGAGCUCAGGAACGCUACUCUCCCCGUCCAACUACACUUGCAUCAAGUUCAAGCCAACAAUGUUGUAGCCUCCGCUAAUGCAAAGCGAGCAAAUUUGUCUGCCUCAAGGAUCCAAAGAGUUGAGCUUCCGGUUUAUGAUGACACUUCCAAGGGCCGCCAAGCUUAUCAUAUUAGCCACUUUUUAAGCCACCCAUCUGGGAUCCAAGCAAUAUUAAACACUAGUGCCUUGCAAAACUUUCAGUAUCUUGACACCAAUGCAUACAGGUGCACACUUCCAAAACUUGCCUUCUUCAACUUUGAAGCAACACCUGUACUUGACUUGCGAGUGAUCCCCACAAAAGAGGAUUGCACCGUGGAGUUAGUUUCUUGCAAGUUCAAGGGUUCAAAAGUUGUGGAACGCCAAAAUGACUAUUUUUCAGCUUCUAUGAUAAAUCAUAUUACUUGGGACACAGAUAUUUCUGAACCAUUUUUGGAGGUUGAUGUCAAGUUGAAUCUAAGUCUUGAGCUGUACUCUAGUUCUAUCUGCCAAUAUGAAAAGUUUGGGCUAGAUCCAGCUUCUCGGCCACAGAGGAAGUAGACUACAUCGAAUACACCACUUGUUCAACUUGCACUUCUUCGGUUCAGUUUUAAUUGAAUUUCAAAGUAUUCAGGGUGUUGGUGUCACCAUGAUUUUGGGGCGUUUGACCAGAUACUUUUACUUCAUAAGUUAACCCUAUAUCCCAUUAAGUUGGGAUGGGGGGCUCAUAUGAGUCGAGUUAUAUUUUAAUUUCUGAAAGUUCGGUUCUGGUCAUAUUUUUGAGAGCAGCGGCAUGAUGAUACGAUUGUUUUCCUGUUUUAAACAUAUUUACACACGACCAUUUACUUCACUGCCAAUUUCAGCUGUUGAGCGUCCAGGAAAUCUGUAAGUAUUUUUGGUUUAAUAAAAUGAGGUUACUGGUGGGAUGGCGUAGUCUAUGGAUUUUUCCACAUAAUGCAUAGAUUAUGUAUUUAUCAACAACAUAGAUUGAGUAAUAUACAGCAAGAAAUGCAAAUGUUCAUUGCAGCAAUCACGCAGAUGCUAGGAUUAUGUGUAUGUAUGUGGACCGGAUGCACAUCAUCAAUUCAAAGAUGA
Molecule: RNA transcript, 1406 nt
Organism: Theobroma umbraticum
Lineage: Eukaryota; Viridiplantae; Streptophyta; Magnoliopsida; Malvales; Malvaceae
Gene name: DUF1997 family protein, putative (DUF1997)
Source: RefSeq, a predicted model, not a curated record